CCUACGGGAGGCAGCAGUGGGGAAUAUUGGGCAAUGGGCGCAAGCCUGACCCAGCAACGCCGCGUGAAGGAAGAAGGCUUUCGGGUUGUAAACUUCUUUUCUCAGGGACGAAGCAAGUGACGGUACCUGAGGAAUAAGCCACGGCUAACUACGUGCCAGCAGCCGCGGGAAUACGUAGGUGGCAAGCGUUAUCCGGAUUUACUGGGUGAAAAGGGCGUGUAGGCGGGAAAGCAAGUCAGAUGUGAAAACCAUGGGCUCAAACUGUGGCCUGCAUUUGAAACUGUUUUUCUUGAGUACUGGAGAGGCAGACGGAAUUCCUAGUGUAGCGGUGAAAUGCGUAGAGAUUAGGAGGAACACCAGUGGCGAAGGCGGUCUGCUGGACAGCAACUGACGCUGAGGCGCGAAAGCGUGGGGAGCAAACAGGAUUAGAUACCCCAGUAGUC
This 443-nucleotide ribosomal RNA is filed under the name uncultured bacterium. RNAcentral's name for it is "partial 16S ribosomal RNA". It matches the Rfam family "Bacterial small subunit ribosomal RNA", at positions 338 to 795 of the family's 1533-position model. The record is from RNAcentral.